This 263-nucleotide unclassified non-coding RNA is filed under the name plant metagenome. RNAcentral describes it as "partial contains small subunit ribosomal RNA, internal transcribed spacer 1, and 5.8S ribosomal RNA". The record is from RNAcentral.
UUUCCGUAGGUGAACCUGCGGAAGGAUCAUUAUUGUAUAACCGAGGUGCGAGGGCUGUCGCUGACCCGAAAGGUCGUGCACGCCCGAGUGCCCAUACACACAUCCAUCUCACCCCUAUGUGCACCACCGCGUGGGUCCCCCUUUGGCUUGUUCGGAGGGGGGCUUACGUUUUCACACAAACUUUGUAUGCAGUGUAGAAUGUAUUUUUUGUUUUUGCGAUCACGCAAUCAAUACAACUUUCAACAACGGAUCUCUUGGCUCUC